GACGUAGGCAGCGAGCGUUGUUCGGAGUUACUGGGCGUAAAGGGUGUGUAGGCGGUUGUUUAAGUUUGGGGUGAAAUCUCCCGGCUCAACUGGGAGGGUGCGCCGAAUACUGAAUGACUUGGAGUGCGGGAGAGGUGAGUGGAAUUCCUGGUGUAGCGGUGAAAUGCGUAGAUAUCAGGAGGAACACCGGUGGUGUAGACGGCUCACUGGACCGUAACUGACGCUGAGACACGAAAGCGUGGGUAGCAAACAGG
RNAcentral lists this ribosomal RNA (254 nucleotides) under uncultured bacterium. Its description in RNAcentral is "partial 16S ribosomal RNA". It matches the Rfam family "Bacterial small subunit ribosomal RNA", at positions 524 to 776 of the family's 1533-position model. The record is from RNAcentral.